UACGUAGGGAGCAAGCGUUGUCCGGAAUCAUUGGGCGUAAAGCGCGCGUAGGCGGCCUCAUAAGUCCGUUGUGAAAGUCAAAGGCUCAACCUUUGAAAGCCGAUGGAUACUGUGAGGCUAGAGUCCGGAAGGGGCGAGUGGAAUUCCUGGUGUAGCGGUGAAAUGCGCAGAUAUCAGGAGGAACACCAAUGGCGAAGGCAGCACUCUGGGACGUGACUGACGCUGAGACGCGAAAGCGUGGGGAGCAAACAGG
This 253-nucleotide ribosomal RNA is filed under the name uncultured bacterium. RNAcentral's name for it is "partial 16S ribosomal RNA". It matches the Rfam family "Bacterial small subunit ribosomal RNA", at positions 524 to 776 of the family's 1533-position model. The record is from RNAcentral.